RNAcentral lists this ribosomal RNA (977 nucleotides) under uncultured bacterium. Its description in RNAcentral is "bacterial SSU rRNA". It matches the Rfam family "Bacterial small subunit ribosomal RNA", at positions 28 to 1009 of the family's 1533-position model. The record is from RNAcentral.
GAUGAACGCUAGCGGCAGGCUUAACACAUGCAAGUCGAGGGGUAGGAGAAGCUUGCUUUUCUGAGACCGGCGCACGGGUGCGUAACGCGUAUGCAAUCUACCUUUCACAGAGGGAUAGCCCAGAGAAAUUUGGAUUAAUACCUCAUAGUAUAAUUGAAUGGCAUCAUUUAAUUAUUAAAGAUUUAUCGGUGAAAGAUGAGCAUGCGUCCCAUUAGCUAGUUGGUAUGGUAACGGCAUACCAAGGCAACGAUGGGUAGGGGUCCUGAGAGGGAGAUCCCCCACACUGGUACUGAGACACGGACCAGACUCCUACGGGAGGCAGCAGUGAGGAAUAUUGGACAAUGGGCGCAAGCCUGAUCCAGCCAUGCCGCGUGCAGGAUGACGGUCCUAUGGAUUGUAAACUGCUUUUAUACAGGAAGAAACACCUCUACGUGUAGAGACUUGACGGUACUGUAAGAAUAAGGAUCGGCUAACUCCGUGCCAGCAGCCGCGGUAAUACGGAGGAUCCAAGCGUUAUCCGGAAUCAUUGGGUUUAAAGGGUCCGUAGGCGGUCAGGUAAGUCAGUGGUGAAAGCCCAUCGCUCAACGGUGGAACGGCCAUUGAUACUGUCUGACUUGAAUUAUUAGGAAGUAACUAGAAUAUGUAGUGUAGCGGUGAAAUGCUUAGAGAUUACAUGGAAUACCAAUUGCGAAGGCAGGUUACUACUAAUAUAUUGACGCUGAUGGACGAAAGCGUGGGUAGCGAACAGGAUUAGAUACCCUGGUAGUCCACGCCGUAAACGAUGGAUACUAGCUGUUGGGAGCAAUCUCAGUGGCUAAGCGAAAGUGAUAAGUAUCCCACCUGGGGAGUACGAACGCAAGUUUGAAACUCAAAGGAAUUGACGGGGGCCCGCACAAGCGGUGGAGCAUGUGGUUUAAUUCGAUGAUACGCGAGGAACCUUACCAAGGCUUAAAUGUAGUUUGACCGGUUGGAAACAG